CAUUGAGCCUUGAUGUGUAGGAUAGGUGGGAGGCUUUGAAGCGUGGACGCCAGUCUGCGUGGAGCCGACCUUGAAAUACCACCCUUUAAUGUUUGAUGUUCUAACGUGGAUCCGUAAUCCGGGUUGCGGACAGUGUCUGGUGGGUAGUUUGACUGGGGCGGUCUCCUCCUAAAGAGUAACGGAGGAGCACGAAGGUUGGCUAAUCCUGGUCGGACAUCAGGAGGUUAGUGCAAUGGCAUAAGCCAGCUUGACUGCGAGCGUGACGGCGCGAGCAGGUGCGAAAGCAGGUCAUAGUGAUCCGGUGGUUCUGAAUGGAAGGGCCAUCGCUCAACGGAUAAAAGGUACUCCGGGGAUAACAGGCUGAUACCGCCCAAGAGUUCAUAUCGACGGCGGUGUUUGGCACCUCGAUGUCGGCUCAUCACAUCCUGGGGCUGAAGUAGGUCCCAAGGGUAUGGCUGUUCGCCAUUUAAAGUGGUACGCGAGCUGGGUUUAGAACGUCGUGAGACAGUUCGGUCCCUAUCUGCCGUGGGCGCUGGAGAACUGAGGGGGGCUGCUCCUAGUACGAGAGGACCGGAGUGGACGCAUCACUGGUGUUCGGGUUGUCAUGCCAAUGGCACUGCCCGGUAGCUAAAUGCGGAAGAGAUAAGUGCUGAAAGCAUCUAAGCACGAAACUUGCCCCGA
This 681-nucleotide ribosomal RNA is filed under the name Salmonella enterica subsp. enterica serovar Infantis. RNAcentral describes it as "partial 23S ribosomal RNA". It matches the Rfam family "Bacterial large subunit ribosomal RNA", at positions 2122 to 2802 of the family's 2925-position model. The record is from RNAcentral. RNAcentral also lists the same sequence under 1 other name. Lineage: Bacteria; Pseudomonadati; Pseudomonadota; Gammaproteobacteria; Enterobacterales; Enterobacteriaceae.